GGAGGAAAAGAAACUAACAAGGAUUCCCCUAGUAACGGCGAGUGAAGCGGGAAGAGCUCAAAUUUGUAAUCUGGCCCUUUCAGGGUCCGAGUUGUAAUCUCGAGAAGUGUUUUCCGCGCCGGACCGCAUACAAGUCUGUUGGAAUACAGCGUCAUAGUGGUGAGAGCCCCGUAAUUGAUGUGGAUGCCCGGUGCUUUGUGAUACACUUUCGAAGAGUCGAGUUGUUUGGGAAUGCAGCUCAAAUUGGGUGGUAAAUUCCAUCUAAAGCUAAAUAUUGGCGAGAGACCGAUAGCGAACAAGUACCGUGAGGGAAAGAUGAAAAGCACUUUGGAAAGAGAGUUAACAGUACGUGAAAUUGUUGGAAGGGAAACGCUUGAAGUCAGACUUGCUAUUCGGAAUUCAGCCGCAAGGUGUACUUUUCGAUUUGCAGGCCAGCAUCAGUUUUUGGGGGUGGAAAAGGGUGGAGAGAAGGUAGCAACCUUGGUUGUGUUAUAGCUCUUUACUGGAUUCAUCUUUGGGGACUGAGGAUCGCAGUGCGCAAUUUACUUUGCAAACCUUUCGAGGUUUUCGUACUUAGGAUGCUGGUGGAAUGGCUUUAAACGACCCGUCUU
This 611-nucleotide ribosomal RNA is filed under the name Glaciozyma watsonii. RNAcentral describes it as "partial large subunit ribosomal RNA". It matches the Rfam family "Eukaryotic large subunit ribosomal RNA", at positions 52 to 655 of the family's 3401-position model. Lineage: Eukaryota; Fungi; Basidiomycota; Microbotryomycetes; Kriegeriales; Camptobasidiaceae. The record is from RNAcentral.